Molecule: ribosomal RNA, 465 nt
Filed under: uncultured bacterium
Lineage: Bacteria
Description: partial 16S ribosomal RNA
Rfam family: Bacterial small subunit ribosomal RNA
Source: RNAcentral
GACGAACGCUGGCGGCGUGCUUAACACAUGCAAGUCGAACGGAAAGGCCCCUUUGGGGGUCCUCGAGUGGCGAACGGGUGAGUAACACGUGAGUAACCUGCCCUUGACUUCGGGAUAACUUCAGGAAACUGGGGCUAAUACCGGAUAGGAAUCCUUGCUGCAUGGUGGGGGUUGGAAAGCUUCGGCGGUUUUGGAUGGACUCGCGGCUUAUCAGCUUGUUGGUGAGGUAGUGGCUUACCAAGGCUUUGACGGGUAGCCGGCCUGAGAGGGCGACCGGCCACAUUGGGACUGAGAUACGGCCCAGACUCCUACGGGAGGCAGCAGUGGGGAAUAUUGCACAAUGGGCGGAAGCCUGAUGCAGCAACGCCGCGUGCGGGAUGACGGCCUUCGGGUUGUAAACCGCUUUCAGCAGGGGCGAAGCUUGUGGUGACGGUACCUGCAGAAGAAGCACCGGCUAACUACGUG